AGCGAACGCUGGCGGCAGGCUUAACACAUGCAAGUCGAGCGGGCAUCUUCGGAUGUCAGCGGCAGACGGGUGAGUAACACGUGGGAACGUACCCUUCGGUUCGGAACAACUCUGGGAAACUGGAGCUAAUACCGGAUACGCCCUUAUGGGGAAAGGUUUACUGCCGCAGGAUCGGACCGCGUCUGAUUAGCUAGUUGGUGGGGUAACGGCCUACCAAGGCGACGAUCAGUAGCUGGUCUGAGAGGAUGAUCAGCCACACUGGGACUGAGACGCGGUCCGGAAUCCUACGGGAUGCAGCAGUGGUGAAUAUAGGACAAUGGACGCAAGCCUGAUCCAGCCAGGCCGGUUAAGUGAUGAAGGCCUUAGGGUUGUAAAGCUCUUUUGUCCGGGACGAUAGUGACGGUACCGGAAGAAUAAGCCCCGGCUAACUUCGUG
RNAcentral lists this ribosomal RNA (435 nucleotides) under uncultured bacterium. Its description in RNAcentral is "partial 16S ribosomal RNA". It matches the Rfam family "Bacterial small subunit ribosomal RNA", at positions 29 to 507 of the family's 1533-position model. The record is from RNAcentral.